Non-coding RNA from Phasianus colchicus (ring-necked pheasant), 905 nucleotides. NCBI's taxonomy places the organism in Eukaryota, Metazoa, Chordata, Aves, Galliformes, Phasianidae. The record is from RefSeq and is a predicted model, not a curated record.
AGAAAAGGGUAGAUGUUGCACUGAAGGACAUGAUUUAGUGGUAUAGUGGUGAUUAAUUAGUAAUUGAGCUAGAUCUUAGUAGUCUUUUCCAACCUUAAUGAUUCUAUGAUUAGCACAUCCCUGAAUCCAGAAGGUUCUGAUCAAGCUUUUCCUCAUGCAUCCCUAAGUCAAGCUGAGGUUACGUUGAAAGCUGGAAGAGAAUGUCAAAACUGUUUUCACAUUAAGUGUGGAAGUUGGGGCUAGAAUCCAGAACCAUCCACUUCAAAGUGAAAAAGAACAUCCCAUCUCUUACUUCAUCCAAAGGUGUGUGGAUGAACCUCCCAUCUUUUGUCAGAAUAUUCUCUAUGAUGCUUGUAACCUCAGUGAAUGGGCAUUCUAAGCAUGAGAUGCUGAUUGAUACCUAACAAAGGAACCUGUGAAGCAAUGGAAGGCAAUGAUAAUGUCUUCUAGGACAGGAGCAUGCCUAUGAAGAAAUAAAGAGGACAAAAAGCAGCGUUCCCAAUGAAAAGACAUCUUCAUACACUCCUCUUGUCAUCAAUGGAUCAAAGAUUAGAAGAUCUUUAGCAGUGGAGGCUGAAAGAGGCUUGGCUGAGUGACUACUGAAAGGAUACCUGAGAGUGCAAUUUGGAAAAUGCAGGAAGGAUAUUGCAACGUUCUCACAUGUGUCCUGUACUCAUUUUCCUGCAGAGUAUUGGAAAUCUGUUUCAAAAUCUGUUGCUUUGGCUGACCUUUGGGAAGGCUCCAUUGGUGUGUUCUGGUGAGUAAAGAUGAAAAAUAUCUAUGAAAUGAAUGAAACAGGAGAGAAGCAAAACUGUGAAUAUUUAGAGAGAAAGGACAUGAAAGUAAGAGACUUGUUCAUUUUGAGACCAUAAGAUGUCUUCAUGCUAGAAUUAAAAUAACUUAGA